AGAGUUUGAUCCUGGCUCAGGACGAACGCUGGCGGCGUGCUUAACACAUGCAAGUCGAACGAUGAAGCCCAGCUUGCUGGGCGGAUUAGUGGCGAACGGGUGAGUAAUACGUGAGUAACCUGCCUUUAACUCUGGGAUAAGCCUUGGAAACGGGGUCUAAUACCGGAUACGACCAACCCUCGCAUGGGGUGUUGGUGGAAAGGGAUUUUGUACUGGUUUUAGAUGGGCUCACGGCCUAUCAGCUUGUUGGUGAGGUAACGGCUCACCAAGGCGACGACGGGUAGCCGGCCUGAGAGGGUGACCGGCCACACUGGGACUGAGACACGGCCCAGACUCCUACGGGAGGCAGCAGUGGGGAAUAUUGCACAAUGGGCGCAAGCCUGAUGCAGCGACGCCGCGUGAGGGAUGACGGCCUUCGGGUUGUAAACCUCUUUCAGCAGGGGAGAAGCGAAAGUGACGGUACCUGCAGAAGAAGCGCCGGCUAACUACGUGCCAGCAGCCGCGGUAAUACGUAGGGCGCGAGCGUUGUCCGGAAUUAUUGGGCGUAAAGAGCUUGUAGGCGGUUUGUCGCGUCUGCUGUGAAAGCCCGGGGCUUAACCCCGGGUUUGCAGUGGGUACGGGCAGACUAGAGUGCAGUAGGGGAGACUGGAAUUCCUGGUGUAGCGGUGAAAUGCGCAGAUAUCAGGAGGAACACCAAUGGCGAAGGCAGGUCUCUGGGCUGUAACUGACGCUGAGAAGCGAAAGCAUGGGGAGCAAACAGGAUUAGAUACCCUGGUAGUCC
RNAcentral lists this ribosomal RNA (781 nucleotides) under uncultured bacterium. RNAcentral describes it as "bacterial SSU rRNA". It matches the Rfam family "Bacterial small subunit ribosomal RNA", at positions 8 to 796 of the family's 1533-position model. The record is from RNAcentral.